CGAACGGGUGAGUAACACGUGGGCAAUCUGCCCUUCACUCUGGGACAAGCCCUGGAAACGGGGUCUAAUACCGGAUACGAGGUUCACAAGCUUCUGGGAACUUGGAAAGCUCCGGCGGUGAAGGAUGAGCCCGCGGCCUAUCAGCUUGUUGGUGAGGUAAUGGCUCACCAAGGCGACGACGGGAAGCCGGCCUGAGAGGGCGACCGGCCACACUGGGACUGAGACACGGCCCAGACUCCUACAGGAGGCAGCAGUGGGGAAUAUUGCACAAUGGGCGAAAGCCUGAUGCAGCGACCCCGCGUGAGGGAUGACGGCCUUCGGGUUGUAAACCUCUUUCAGCAGGGAAGAAGCGAAAGUGACGGGACCUGCAGAACAAGCGCCGGCUAACUACGUGCCAGCAGCCGCGGUAAUACGUCUGGCGCAAGCGUUGUCCGGAAUUAUUGGGCGUAAAGAGCUCGUACGCGGCUUGUCACGUCGAUUGUGAAAGCCCGAGGCUUAACCUCGGGUCUGCAGUCGAUACGGGCUAGCUAGAGUGUGGUAGGGGAGAUCGGAAUUCCUGG
RNAcentral lists this ribosomal RNA (560 nucleotides) under Streptomyces puniciscabiei. RNAcentral describes it as "bacterial SSU rRNA". It matches the Rfam family "Bacterial small subunit ribosomal RNA", at positions 99 to 673 of the family's 1533-position model. Lineage: Bacteria; Bacillati; Actinomycetota; Actinomycetes; Kitasatosporales; Streptomycetaceae. The record is from RNAcentral.